This is a long non-coding RNA of Nomascus leucogenys (northern white-cheeked gibbon), 4826 nucleotides long. RefSeq lists it as uncharacterized. Lineage: Eukaryota; Metazoa; Chordata; Mammalia; Primates; Hylobatidae. The record is from RefSeq and is a predicted model, not a curated record. The transcript has 2 exons.
UUCCAAUACAGACAGGCAUUAUUAUUGCCAUGUUACAGUUGAGGAGACUAAGCCACAGAGAGUUUUAGUAGCCCCAAAUAAUAGUUAAAUGGCAGAACCACAGUCAAACUCCAAAGACAGUGGUCUAUACUAGUACACAUUACUGUCAGGCUACAUCCAAAUUCUUAGAAAAUAAUUUGGACUCAUCUCUGGGUACAGAUAAAUGAGCUUUUGAGGUCACAGAAUUCUGCUUCAUCUAGUGUGGCACCCAUAAUCCCAAUUUCAUUAGCACAGAAUAACUGCUUUGAGCUAAGCAACUCACUCUAGAGGCUUCUGAGUACUCAAUCAGAUUAAAAGUAGGUGCCAUCCACCCAAAACUGUUACUUUGGUUUUAAGUGAGUUAAGGAACAGCAUGUGGCCCUUAUUGCUGGCUGUUUACUAAGGCCGUUUCGAGGUUGUGACAACAAGCCUGAUCUGAGUAUAGCACAGUGGCCUAAGAGUGAGGACCCCGGAGUGUGACAGGUCUGGUGUGCAUCUGCUUCAGUACUUGCUAGCUGUUUGACCUUGGGAAAAUUAACUUCCCUUUCUGAGCCUCACUUCUCUUUUCUGUAAAGUGGGGAUUAUAAUUCCUACUUCAAUGUUGGACAGACCAAAUUACAAUAUGUGUACACAUACAUACCCCUGGCACAGAGCCCUUGACACUAGCAGCCACUAUUGUGAAUUUCUGAGAAAGGGGAUGCAUGUCUUUCUAUUCCCUAGAGCAGGGCAUCUACAGACAGCUCAUGCAAAAGUAUAUCAUUUCAUUAAGGAAAUAUUUCAAGAUAAAGAAAACUCAGAACCUGUCCCUAUUUUAUUCUGCUGGAUAUUGUAAACUGAACCAUGAAGAGACUCCAAGGCUGAAGCUAGUAUUACUGUCACUUCCAUAGCUCUAUGUGGGCUCAUGAUUCCCAUAUGGAGGUCAGGAAGCUUAGUAUGUGACCAAUUCUGCCUAAAUUGUCAUUAGCAAGGGAGGGUCAAUAAAGUCACAAUCUUAUAUACUUUCCUCACAAGGUGACAAAGAGCAUAGCAGUUGUCUACAGGGGACUUUCACCACGCAAGGGGGUCCUGGUCCCAAUGAGAGCCUUUACAGCAUGAGAGGGUCAUUAUCAGCAAUGGCUUGUGAGUACUCAACUGUUCCAAAUAUCAGCUCCACUGCUCCCUAUGCUCUGAAAUUAGAGCAUGAGACCAAGACCUGGGUUUCUGGGAGGGGCCUGCAAGAGAUAGCUGGACACCACGAUAGGCAUGCCUCCUUCCACCUACACCUCUUCAUCUUGUACCAGAUCUAGAUAGUGUAGCAGGUAAGCCUAAGAAUCUGAGCUCAGGAACCAGAUCACCUGGACUCAGAUCCUGCCUCCAACUUAGUAGCUGCAUGACCGAGGACAAGUUAUUUAACCCCAACAUCAUGUUGCUCAGGGAAGUUUCCUUUGAUGACAACACAGAUGGACAGAGAUGGAGCUAAGAUUUUUGUCUUUCUUCCCAGCAUGUGCAUCCUGGGUCAUGACACACGUAUUUGGAAGCUUAAGCCCCAGUAGGAAGCUGACCUUUCUGGAUUCUAUAGACCUGUGUUUAGCAUUAAGUAUUUUCAAACAAGCUCUCUAAGCCAAGGGAAACAGCUUCUUCUGCCUAAUAAUUAAGACUUCUAAAGAAUGGUGGCCACUUUGAAUGACAGAGAGAAAUGGGGCAGGGAGAAAGGAACUGGCAUAUACUGGGUCAGUUCCUUCUGUGUGCCAGAUUUUACCCCCCACCCCACAAGCAGAUCUUCUAUCUCUACCCCCUUUAAAGAUCAAAAACAUUAUCAGAGGUUGUCUUCAUUUCACACACGAAGAGACAGUAGCUUGCCCAGGUUUACACAACUUAAUUCCCCAAGUCUUUCUGAUUUCAAAUCCCAAGCUCUCUCCUUCACAUGACACUGUUUAUUAGCUUUCCUUACACACCCCUGUUUACCUGAUUUUAGAUCCAAAUAUUAAUAUUACAGGGCUCAGGUCUUGGCCUAGGAACAAGGACUGGCAUCCUCUUUUCUUCUGCCCCCAAUCUUCACAGAACUAUCUAGAAUUCCUCAUUCAGUCACACUAUCUGAAAUGUUAACAAGUAGAGCCUUCCUAGGGUAAAAAGCCUCCCGUCACGUUCAGAUGUAGGGAAAAUCCCAUAUUUGAUUAUAAUAACAUUUUACUUCCUCUUUCCAACUUGAAGAAAAAACUCAAGCCUUCUUGUAUUACAGGUUCUCAGAAAUGUUGAUCCAUCUUUUGUAUCUAAGUUUUUAUUUUUCCUUUUGCAAAAGCUGCUCUAAAUACCAGCUUUGCUGCUCCGUAGGCUCAGAAUGGUCAGAAGAACAUUCACAUUAUGAGUAUGACUCUGUGGAAUGCUUGACCACUAAGUUUGGUAAAUAGCUGGUCAGUCUUUUUCACUUUAGCCACAGUUGGGGAGGAAAGCCUCUAUAUGAGUGGCAGAGGCUGGCUGGCUGUUUACCAGACUAAUUUCUUCUUUCUGAGGACACAGUAGCUUACAUUUCCUAGCUUUCUUUGCCACUGGUUUGCUACGGCCAUGCAAUUGAGUUCUAGCUAAUGGAAUAUGAGCAGAAGUGAAGCACUCCACUUCCAGGGUGAGACCCCUAACUCCCCUUCUCCCCAUGCGCAGCCUUCCACUCUCUUCUUCCUAUUGCUGGCAUGAAGCACAUAAGCAAGCUAUCUUGGAAGCCAUGUGUUGAAGCUGGUGAAGACUACAAGAUGGAAGGAGCCUGGUCCCAGAAUCACCACUUGGAGGAAAGCUGCUUGCUGUUCAAGUACACCAGUUUUGGAUUUCACACAGGGAGGGAAAACCAGUGUACUGAUUUCAUAUUGUUCAAACACACAUGUCUUACAAUCAAUUGUAAAAGGCCUACUCUUUGGUCUUUUAUGGAAAAAUUUGCUGACUCUUGGUGAGUAUAUUAAGAAAAACUUGGAAAAACCUAAAUCUUCAAGAGUGGAGAAUUAGAAAGUAAGACACGUUGUAUAUAAGACAGAGAGUGUGUGUGUGCACUUAUUUGUAAAUAUAUUGUUUGGAAGUAAUGUUGUCAACAUAUGUUGUAGGUCUUAAAAAUUGUUCAAUAUAUAGUGUUAAUCAACAAACAGGCAAAUUAUAAAAGGUAGACAGAAUGUGAUUUCGCAUUUUGUGCAUAAACCAACAGAAGAGGGUGCUAAGAAGCCUGUGGACCAACAUGCUAAGUGUGGCUCUUUUGAUGGUGGUAUUAUGGAUUUUUAAAAGUCUUCUUGGUUUUGUAUAGAUUCUGACUUUCCUGUAAUGAGUGUGAAUAAAUAUGUGUUUCUUUAAAAAUGUAAAAAUAACUUUAUCUUCCCAGAUUUCUCAUAAUUGAAAAUGUUGGAACAAAUGGUCCUGGGACAGAUCUUUCCUUUGAGAAGGGCAGAGGAGGGGAUUCAGCUGGGUUUCUGUUGCAUUUCUAGUAACACACAGUUGUGAAAGGCCAGUGUUGGCCAUUCCCCAGGACAGACUGGGGUAGAGGAGGUCAGGAUUUAAUUACUUGAGGGACUGGGGAACAGAUGUAGCCACAGCCCUUCCCGACUCACUGUUUUCCCUUCCACAGUCCCCGUCUUCUCUUCACUGAUGCACAUAGAUGCCUGACCAGAGGAGAGACUUCAUUUUCGUCCAAGGAUUAUCUGUUAUGCUGCAGUUCUGAAAUUCCCAUAAUGUUUAAACUAGAACACAAGUGAUUUCAUUAUCUCCAAUGUGUAUGGCUUGAUAGAAAUAUAUUCCAUUAUGUAGCACCUUAAAUCCAGAUAAAACGUAAGGAAUUUCUAUUCCAUGUUUGUAUGAUCAGUGCUAAUAAUAUAAAAAGUCUAAAAAGUAGCUAUUUCCUAUAUUACAGUAUGAAAUAAAUAUGUUGAAUGAUUUUUUUUGGUGGGAGGGAAGGUGUAAGACUGAGGAGGGUGCCUGUGGGGAACAGUGAUAGGAGUCCUUUCUUAAGGGUUGGGUUUUAUAUUUGUCUUUUAAAAUAGAUGAUAUCAUUAAUAAAUUAUCUGCGGGCAUCAUGAAAAAAGUUUAUAAUGUACAACUUUAUGAGCUUGACAGUUGGUGAAACACUUUUCUGUUUAAAAUUUUAUUUGACCCUCCCCAAAAGAAAUGUUUAUUUAUGAGUAUUAGGAUAGUUCCAGUGGUAAUGCCUCAAAAGAACCAGGAGGUAUAGUGUUGUCUAAAAUGUGGACUCAGGAGCCAGACUGCCUGGCUGUGCAAAUAGCCUUGUCAUUUCCUAGAUAUGUGGCAAAUUAAUUAACUUCUCAGUGUUCUUAUCUGUAGAAUGGGGAUAAUCAUAAUAUAUAUCUCAGGGUUAUAUUAAAAAUUGAAAAAGUUAAUUUUGUGUAGCACUUAGAAUGAUAUCUGGCAAAUAAAAGUGUUUACAAAAGCAAACCCUAUAAAAAUGUUUACUCAUUAAAUACAAUAAUCUGAAGCCAUUAAUGAUUUAAACAUUUGUGGCUGACUUGAUAAUGUUUAUGAAAAUAAAUACUGUAUUUAUAAUCUUUGACCUGGUUUUACUCCUAGGAGUUUAUUGUACAGUAAACAUUUUCACAGGCAGUCAAAAAUAUUACUAUAAAAUCAUGUUUAUUACAUCUAUCUGUGCAAAAGGAAAAAAAUUAGGCAAAUAAAAUGACAAUCAAAAGUGGUAUUAGUUAAAUGAAUUAUAGUAAAUCCGCUGAUUAGUAAUCAUAUAAUCCAAAAAGAAGGAGGCAUAUUUACGUGACAUGGGAAGAUCCACAACUAAUGUUAAAUGGUAAAAGAUAUAAAAUGUUAUGCCCAAUAAAAUACUUUCUGUGAGAGAA